Molecule: ribosomal RNA, 2031 nt
Filed under: Triticum aestivum (bread wheat)
Lineage: Eukaryota; Viridiplantae; Streptophyta; Magnoliopsida; Poales; Poaceae
Description: partial small subunit ribosomal RNA
Source: RNAcentral
AUGUGCAACUAUGUCCAGUUACAAGGCACAUGCACAGGCAGCGGGACGGGUAACUAUAUCCAAUUACAAGACGACAAAGGGAUAUGGCCUAGACAGCCACCGCACCUCUCGGGCGCAAUUCUAGGCCAGAUACGGGACAUUCUUUCCGUCUCCCUCGCAUGUGCGCUGCAUGCACCCCGUCCAAUCCACCGCUUUCGUUACAUUCUUAUCUGCCUCACCGCUUACUUCUCCGUCCUUAUCUCUUCUUCUUUUGGAUGCCUCUGCGGCUUGCCGCCCUUGAUGAUCGAGUGGAUAGCCCAGAAAAGCCCAUCGAGCCAGCGGCAGUCCACAAUCCCCCCUUCGCGUCCUUCCCCAGUCACCCCAUGCCCUAGGCUAGGGCGCCGUCGCCGCCAUCUCCACCGCACCAGUGGUGCGGCACCACCUCCCGCUUCCAAUCCCAUGGAGCCGCUGUCGCCGUCGUGUUUCUCGAAGAGGUCGUCAUCCAAGGACAUCGCCGGCGACCGAGCCAAGCCUUGCAAGGAUGACUCCUCUGCUCUCUCCCCUAUCCUGCCGACGCCCUCUUCAGCUCCUGCUCCUCCGCCGCCGUCAAAGGGGAUAGCCGGGGACCAAGCCGAGCCCUGCGUGGCUGCUCCCUCCCCUAUCCCGGUGAUGGCCUCUUCGGCCCCUGCUCCCCCGCCUCCUCCUAUUCUACCCCAAGAUUUGAUGGAAGUUACCAUGGGUGAUGUCGACGACCAAAUGGUGUUGACGAUCGACAAGCAAGCUGAAAAGUGGGAAGCCAUGGAGCAGGAACAACAUGUGUGGAAUGCUAUCGAUGAGGAACGGAAGCGGAAGGAAAAACGAAGGCAUAAGACGAGAAAGAAAAGCCUGGAAGAGAAGAGGAAAGAGAAGAGAGAAGAGAAGAGGAAGAAGCAAGAGAAGAAGAGGAAAAACCAAGAGGAGUUGCAGGAGGAGGAGGAGUUGCAGGGGAAGAGGAAACAUGCUCGUUCAAUGAACUGUUCCGAAUUUGUUCAAGGAGCUACAACAGAGGAGCUACAGAGACGAGAUUCUCCACCUAUGACACAUAGUCAAAGAGCGACAAGAUCACCAUUGGUAAGGUCACCGGUGGCGAGCACGUGGAGAUCUUCCCUUGGUCUUCUAGCAAGAGUUGCAGCCUCAAAAAGGGGCAGGUCUCCCUCAGCGAGGAUUGCAAGUUCCCCAUUGGAGGAGAGGGCAAAUUCGUCCGCGAGAUCACCAUCUAUCUUAGGAUCCCCUUCUCCAGUGACUACUCCAUUUGGAGGCUCAAAAAUUAAUCAUCCACAUGUCCGCAAGACAAGAAGGCUAACUUCUGCUGUUUGGAGGGAUUUCAAACCAAUGUACUUUCUGGUUCAAAAGGAAGCUUCAACAAAGGAUGAAGUCGUUCGAGCAAUGGUUGGAGAGAUGCAAAAAAAGUUUGAUAAGUAUUGGAUGGAAUCAUAUUUGCCAAACUGUAUUCCUGUGAUCCUUGGUCCACGAUUUAAAAUUUGCUUCAUCGAGUUUGGACUAAAACAAGCUUUUGGUCCAGAUGUAGAAAGACACUUUCUUGCAGUGAAAGAAGUUCUUGACAACCUUUUCGAAGAAUAUUCUUCACAAAUGACGAAUGCAUUGGAUGAGUCAGCACCCCGACAAAAAAUUGAUGAGGUUGUGAAUGAAGAGAAUGAUCUGUUGGCGGAUUGGGACCAACACUUGAAUAAGAAGCAACCCCAAACUGCUAGUGAGCUUGCCAGAUACUUAGAAGAAGACACAUUCACUCGCACGGAGGAUUUCAACAUUCUUCAAUGGUGGCAUCUUCACUCGUCUAAGUAUCCCAUCCUUUCUUGUACAGCUUGUGAUGUUCUUGUUGUACAAGCUUCCAUCGUAUCGUCAGAGUCGGCUUUCAGUACCGGAAAGCGUUUGAUCAGCGAUUACAGAAGUAGAUUGUGCAGCGAGACAGUGGAAGCCUUAAUCUGCCUUCAAGAUUGGUUUAGAUGUAAUGAUAAGCAUGCCAAUACUCCUGAUCAAGGUCACUACUAUUAA